Molecule: long non-coding RNA, 440 nt
Organism: Gasterosteus aculeatus aculeatus (three-spined stickleback)
Lineage: Eukaryota; Metazoa; Chordata; Actinopteri; Perciformes; Gasterosteidae
Source: Ensembl
GAUUGAUCUGGCAAAUUACUAGCAUGUGGUUGCCGUACCCGAGGUCUUGGUACUGUCAGCUCCACAUAAAGAAGGAUACAUUCGGUCUGAGUUUUACUUACGUAAUUACUCUGAAAUGAAGACAGAAAACUAUUUUUUUGUGUCUUUACCUGCAAACUUUUAGGAGAUUCAACCUCCAUCCUGCAAAGUAGUAGUGCUGAAAUAUCUGUGCUCAGGCGGAUGGAAGAGAAAAGCCCCUGAAGGACUGCCUAAAACGAGCGCCGCUUGGAAAUGAAGAGAUGGAGUAAGGGGGAAAAUCACAAAGAGAAAAGCGAAAUGACGAGAUGAGAGGGGAUACACGUCGAUACAAGGAUGUGUGACUAUGGCACCCUGUGGUUAGUCUUUGAUGUUACCUUAAGAGACAGAUGAGAGAGGAAGAAGAGGAGGAGGAAGAGGACGAG